This 292-nucleotide long non-coding RNA is filed under the name Glycine max (soybean). Its description in RNAcentral is "long non-coding RNA (GMAX_LNC003214)". The record is from RNAcentral. Lineage: Eukaryota; Viridiplantae; Streptophyta; Magnoliopsida; Fabales; Fabaceae.
UGGUGGGUACAAGUACGUGUACAAAUAUAAUUUGGUAUUCAUCCCCGAUUAGUAAUACUUGUACCAUACCCAAUCAAAGUGAGUAUUUCCCGUCAAAGUCAAAGCAGGUCUGAGGCAAUACCCGCAGCUAUGAGAUUAUUUGUCAUGCCUAUGUGUGAUUCGUGCAUUAGUGAUAGUGUGGCCAACCGUGUUAGAACUGGACGAUCCAUCAUUGGACCAUCCAUUAUCCCUUAGUUUUGAUGAACACAAAGAUAUAAAUUUGUGAUGACUAAUGAGUUACUUAUAAGUGGAC